AGCUCCAAUAGCGUAUAUUAAAGUUGUUGCAGUUAAAAAGCUCGUAGUUGGAUUUCUGCGAGGGUGCCAAUGUCCGCCGACGCGCGUGCGCAGCGGCGCCCUCGCAUCCUUCUGUUACCACCUCUCGGCAUUGACUUGCCGGUGGUCGGCUCAGAGAAUUUACCUUGAGAAAAUUAGAGUGUUUCAGGCAGGCUAGGCCGGAAUACAUUAGCAUGGAAUAAUGGAAUAGGACUACGGUCUCGUUGUUGGUUUGAGGGACUGCAGUAAUGAUUAAUAGGGAUAGUUGGGGGCAUUAGUAUUUAAUUGUCAGAGGUGAAAUUCUCAGAUUUGUUAAAGACUAACUUAUGCGAAAGCAUUUGCCAAGGAUGUUU
Molecule: ribosomal RNA, 371 nt
Filed under: uncultured eukaryote
Lineage: Eukaryota
Description: SSU rRNA
Rfam family: Eukaryotic small subunit ribosomal RNA
Source: RNAcentral